This 216-nucleotide ribosomal RNA is filed under the name uncultured bacterium. RNAcentral's name for it is "partial 16S ribosomal RNA". It matches the Rfam family "Bacterial small subunit ribosomal RNA", at positions 15 to 225 of the family's 1533-position model. The record is from RNAcentral.
GAUCAUGGCUCAGGAUGAACGCUAGCUACAGGCUUAACACAUGCAAGUCGAGGGGCAGCAUGGUCUUAGCUUGCUAAGGCCGAUGGCGACCGGCGCACGGGUGAGUAACACGUAUCCAACCUGCCGUCUACUCUUGGACAGCCUUCUGAAAGGAAGAUUAAUACAAGAUGGCAUCAUGAGUUCACAUGUUCACAUGAUUAAAGGNUCGUUCGACGA